GACGAACGCUGGCGGCGUGCUUAACACAUGCAAGUCGAGCGGUAAGGCCCUUUCGGGGGUACACGAGCGGCGAACGGGUGAGUAACACGUGGGUGACCUGCCUUUAGCUCUGGGAUAAGCCUGGGAAACUGGGUCUAAUACCGGAUACGACUCCGCGGUGCAUGCUGUGGGGUGGAAAGCCUUGUGCGGCUGGAGAUGGGCCCGCGGCCUAUCAGCUUGUUGGUGGGGUGAUGGCCUACCAAGGCGACGACGGGUAGCCGGCCUGAGAGGGCGACCGGCCACACUGGGACUGAGACACGGCCCAGACUCCUACGGGAGGCAGCAGUGGGGAAUCUUGCGCAAUGGGCGAAAGCCUGACGCAGCGACGUCGCGUGAGGGAUGACGGCCU
Molecule: ribosomal RNA, 388 nt
Filed under: uncultured bacterium
Lineage: Bacteria
Description: bacterial SSU rRNA
Rfam family: Bacterial small subunit ribosomal RNA
Source: RNAcentral